This 513-nucleotide ribosomal RNA is filed under the name uncultured bacterium. RNAcentral's name for it is "partial 16S ribosomal RNA". It matches the Rfam family "Bacterial small subunit ribosomal RNA", at positions 28 to 523 of the family's 1533-position model. The record is from RNAcentral.
GACGAACGCUGGCGGCAUGCCUAAUACAUGCAAGUCGAGCGAACAGAUGAAGUGCUUGCACUUCUGACGUUAGCGGCGAACGGGUGAGUAACACGUAAGGAAUCUACCUAUAAGCGGGGGAUAACAUUCGGUAACGGGUGCUAAUACCGCAUAAUAUCUUCUUCCGCAUGGAAGAAGAUUGAAGGAAGGCUAUGCUGUCACUUAUAGAUAACUUUGCGGUGCAUUAGUUAGUUGGUGGGGUAAUGGCAUACCAAAACAAGGAUGCAUAGACUACCUGAGAGGGUGAGCGGCCACAUUGGGACUGAGACACGGCCCAAACUACUACGGGAGGCAGCAGUAGGGAAUCUUCCGCAAUGGGCGAAAGGCUGACGGAGCAAUGCCGCGUGAGUGAAGAAGGCCUUCGGGUCGUAAAACUCUGUUAUAAGAGAAGAACAAAUUGUAGAGUAACUGCUACAGUCUUGACGGUAUCUUAUCAGAAAGCCACGGCUAACUACGUGCCAGCAGCCGCAGUAA